Molecule: ribosomal RNA, 832 nt
Filed under: uncultured bacterium
Lineage: Bacteria
Description: bacterial SSU rRNA
Rfam family: Bacterial small subunit ribosomal RNA
Source: RNAcentral
ACACAUGCAAGUCGAACGGAGUUCUUGAGGAAUGCGGCUUCGGCCAAAUGACUUUUGAACUUAGUGGCGGACGGGUGAGUAACGCGUGAGCAACCUGCCUUUCAGAGGGGGAUAACAUUUGGAAACAGAUGCUAAUACCGCAUAAGAUUACAGUACCGCAUGAUACAGUGAUCAAAGGAGCAAUCCGCUGAAAGAUGGGCUCGCGUCCGAUUAGAUAGUUGGUGAGGUAACGGCUCACCAAGUCGACGAUCGGUAGCCGGACUGAGAGGUUGAACGGCCACAUUGGGACUGAGACACGGCCCAGACUCCUACGGGAGGCAGCAGUGGGGAAUAUUGCACAAUGGGCGAAAGCCUGAUGCAGCAACGCCGCGUGAGGGAAGACGGUUUUCGGAUUGUAAACCUCUGUUUUCGGUGACGAACAAAUGACGGUAACCGAGUAGGAAGCCACGGCUAACUACGUGCCAGCAGCCGCGGUAAUACGUAGGUGGCAAGCGUUAUCCGGAAUUACUGGGUGUAAAGGGAGCGCAGGCGGGAUAGCAAGUCAGCUGUGAAAACUAUGGGCUCAACCCAUAAACUGCAGUUGAAACUGUUAUUCUUGAGUGGAGUAGAGGCAAGCGGAAUUCCGAGUGUAGCGGUGAAAUGCGUAGAUAUUCGGAGGAACACCAGUGGCGAAGGCGGCUUGCUGGGCUCUAACUGACGCUGAGGCUCGAAAGUGUGGGGAGCAAACAGGAUUAGAUACCCUGGUAGUCCACACUGUAAACGAUGAUUGCUAGGUGUGGGGGGUCUGACCCCCUCCGUGCCGGAGUUAACGCAAUAAGCAAUCCACCUGGGG